Molecule: ribosomal RNA, 480 nt
Filed under: uncultured bacterium
Lineage: Bacteria
Description: partial 16S ribosomal RNA
Rfam family: Bacterial small subunit ribosomal RNA
Source: RNAcentral
GACGAACGCUGGCGGCACGCUUAACACAUGCAAGUCGAGCGAUGACACCUUGACAGAUCGCUCAGGGGUGCGGAAAACGUGGGAUAGUGGCGGUCGGGUCGGUAUAACGUGAGGAACCGGGUUUAGACAUUGGGAAAGCUCCGGGAAACAAGGAUUAAUAGCAAAUAAAAUCAUCAUGACAGAUGUAGUAACGUUGAAAGCUCUGUUGCUUUUAGAUGGACUCGCGUUAGAUUAGCUAGUUGGUAGGGUAAAAGCCUACCAAGGCGACGAUCGAUAGCUGGUCUGAGAGGAUGAUCAGCCACACUGGGACUGAGACACGGCCCAGACUCCUACGGGAGGCAGCAGUGGGGAAUAUUGGACAAUGGGCGAAAGCCUGAUCCAGCAAUGCCGCGUGAGUGAUGAAGGCCUUAGGGUUGUAAAGCUCUUUUACCCGGGAUGAUAAUGACAGUACCGGGAGAAUAAGCUCCGGCUAACUCCGUG